Molecule: non-coding RNA, 73 nt
Organism: Dermochelys coriacea (leatherback sea turtle)
Lineage: Eukaryota; Metazoa; Chordata; Testudines; Dermochelyidae
Source: the annotation of a RefSeq genome assembly
GUUUCUGUAGUGUAGUGGUUAUCACAUUUGUUUAACACACAAAAGGGCCCCGGUUCAAAACUGGGCAGAAACA